Molecule: ribosomal RNA, 266 nt
Filed under: uncultured Staphylococcus sp.
Lineage: Bacteria; Bacillati; Bacillota; Bacilli; Caryophanales; Staphylococcaceae
Description: partial 16S ribosomal RNA
Rfam family: Bacterial small subunit ribosomal RNA
Source: RNAcentral
CGGCGGACGGGUGAGUAACACGUGGGUAACCUACCUAUAAGACUGGGACAACUUCGGGAAACCGGAGCUAAUACCGGAUAAGAUAUCGAACCGCAUGGUUCGAUAGUGAAAGAUGGUUCUGCUAUCACUUAUAGAUGGACCCGCGCCGUAUUAGCUAGUUGGUGAGGUAACGGCUCACCAAGGCAACGAUACGUAGCCGACCUGAGAGGGUGAUCGGCCACACUGGAACUGAGACACGGUCCAGACUCCUACGGGAGGCAGCAGGG